Erpetoichthys calabaricus (reedfish) is the source of this 348-nucleotide long non-coding RNA. RefSeq lists it as uncharacterized. The record is from RefSeq and is a predicted model, not a curated record. The transcript is spliced from 3 exons. Lineage: Eukaryota; Metazoa; Chordata; Cladistia; Polypteriformes; Polypteridae.
GUCAAGAAAUACUAGGUACGGAAAUUAGACGUCAGAGCCUGGAUAUGGAAAGCGUCCCUGGCAACAGUUAAAUCUAAAAUAAAAAAGGUCUAAUACAAUAUGGCUGGAAUGGUUUUAUGUGAGCCAACAGAGCUGUACAAUAUUCUAAACCAGUACACAACACUUACCAGGCUAGCGGAUCCCACUUAUCUGUGCUUACUUGAUGCACGUAUAAAGGAAGAAUACGAACGAGAUCAUAUCAUUACAGCUCAAAGAUCUAAAAAGGCAAGCAUUUCUUUUUAUUUUAGCUUGUUGUAUACUGACAUUACGGGCAAAGCCAGAUAGGAGACGACGCCUACAUGCAUUCUG